RNAcentral lists this ribosomal RNA (497 nucleotides) under uncultured bacterium. Its description in RNAcentral is "partial 16S ribosomal RNA". It matches the Rfam family "Bacterial small subunit ribosomal RNA", at positions 28 to 507 of the family's 1533-position model. The record is from RNAcentral.
GACGAACGCUGGCGGCGUGCCUAAUACAUGCAAGUUGAGCGCUGAAGGUUGGUACUUGUACCAACUGGAUGAGCAGCGCACGGGUGAGUAACGCGUGGGGAAUCUGCCUUUGAGCGGGGGACAACAUUUGGAAACGAAUGCUAAUACCGCAUAAAAACUUUAAACACAAGUUUUAAGUUUGAAAGAUGCAAUUGCAUCACUCAAAGAUGAUCCCGCGUUGUAUUAGCUAGUUGGUGAGGUAAAGGCUCACCAAGGCGAUGAUACAUAGCCGACCUGAGAGGGUGAUCGGCCACAGUGGGACUGAGACACGGCCCAAACUCCUACGGGAGGCAGCAGUAGGGAAUCUUCGGCAAUGGACGAAAGUCUGACCGAGCAACGCCGCGUGAGGGAAGAAGGUUUUCGGAUCGUAAAACUCUGUUGGUAGAGAAGAACGUUGGUGAGAGUGGAAAGCUCAUCAAGUGACGGUAACUACCCAGAAAGGGACGGCUAACUACGUG